This 985-nucleotide long non-coding RNA is filed under the name Suricata suricatta (meerkat). RNAcentral's name for it is "lncRNA (ENSSSUG00005018739.1)". The record is from RNAcentral. Lineage: Eukaryota; Metazoa; Chordata; Mammalia; Carnivora; Herpestidae.
AGGGCCACGGGCCAAGGCCAAGGAAUUUUGCAUUGUUUUUAAGGCAACUAUUCUUCCCCGGCCCCUCCGAGUGGUAGAGAAGGCGCGUGCCUCGCGCCUAAAGCUUUCAAGCGCGCGCGGGCGGCGGGGCGGGGCGCGGGCGAGGGCACUAUAUCUCCCGGCGGAGGAGCACACGGCAGUUCCGGCAACACACGCCCAAAAUGCGCUCCGAUGCCGGUUGCUUAGUUGGCGCUGCUCAGCCUUCUUCCCUCGUUCACUUUGACAAGGACGCUCUGAUAGGCCAGCGCGACCCUGCAGUGGUUGGCCGGAAAGAGUCGAGCCGCCUGAUUGGCCGUUCCGCACCUGCAAUGCGUCAAGCCGAGGCGGGCGUGGAGGGCUCUGCGUGAAUGGUCGUGGCUGACGGGGGAGCCCGCGGCCUUGGGGGGAGAAGCGGCUCCGCCUAUGGCCGCCAUCUUUACUAGUGGCAGAGCGGAUGGCCCCGGACGAGGAGGGGCUUUCGCGGCGCUACUUAGCCAGCGGAGAGAGGCUCUGUGACAGAAGUUUUGUUUGGGGUUUAUUUUUCCCUUUUUACUUUGCGAAGAAAACAACCAAGUAUUUCAGAAGUGCAGAGGGAAAAUCAUUUUACUAGAGGGAUCAGAAAAAGCUCUGUGGAAGAAGCUGGUGUCAGGUUGGUUAAGGGUAUACAGAAAAUGGCAACAUGUUCCGGGCAAGAAGAAAAGAUUAUCUUGUAUGCAUGGAAUCCAUUGAAGACUCUUGACAAAAUCACAGGGCACCGGAGGAGUGUUUUUUUUCUGCUCUUGGUCAAGUCUGCGAUCUCCACCCGCCUUGCCUCCCCAAGAAAAAAAGCAAUAAUACAAAGAGCUGCAGACAAGGUCGGCUCCGGGCUGUGUUCUGACAGAGAGGAACGUUUUUAACCAGGUAUGUUCUGAGCUUUCCACCAAAGUAUCCCAACAGGAUAGGGGACCAAGGGUGUCUGCUUCUGUGG